Molecule: long non-coding RNA, 675 nt
Filed under: Vitis vinifera (wine grape)
Lineage: Eukaryota; Viridiplantae; Streptophyta; Magnoliopsida; Vitales; Vitaceae
Description: long non-coding RNA (VVIN_LNC005905)
Source: RNAcentral
CUGAUCACUCCUAGCGUUUCCGGGCAUUCAGUGCUGGAUUUGAAGCGACAGCCUCUGCUUCAGAGACUCAGGCCCAAGCCAUUCUCCCACCUUCUCCUCCCUCCACUUCCCACCUCUUCCUCCACUUCAUCUCCUGCAUUUACAACUCUUGCUCUCUUCAAAUCAAAGACCAAAGCCGCUCCUUCAAAGAAGGUCCCAUCUCCAUUUCCUCAAUCAUUCUUUACUAUUAUUAUUAUGUCUCAAUCUCUGGGUUCAUUAUUAAUUUCUUGGUAUUUUCCCUGUAACAGGUUACGAAGCCGAAGCCACAGGUUGAAGAUGGAAUAUUUGGCACCUCUGGUGGCAUUGGCUUCACCAAAAAAAAUGAGCUGUUCGUGGGUCGUGUUGCCAUGCUCGGCUUUGCUGUGAGAAAAUUUUCCUUUUCCCAUCUAUUUUCAGCUUCUUAAUUCACUGCUUUUACAAGUAAUUUUGUGGUUAAUUAGCUUAGUAUUGAAAUCAGUAGAAUCUAAAUUGGAAGAAAUGAUAGACGUACUCCAGAUUUGAUUAUUUCACUAAACGACAUAGCUCCUUCUCGUAGCUUCUCUUGUAUGUACACGUGUCCGUGUAAAAGCCAUACAUAAAACAAUAAUCAUAGAAAGAAAUCAUAAAAAGUAAUUUGAAAAAUUCUAUUUUUUGUCC